RNAcentral lists this transfer RNA (72 nucleotides) under Bos taurus (domestic cattle). It matches the Rfam family "tRNA". Rfam says of the family: Transfer RNA (tRNA) molecules are approximately 80 nucleotides in length. Their secondary structure includes four short double-helical elements and three loops (D, anti-codon, and T loops). Lineage: Eukaryota; Metazoa; Chordata; Mammalia; Artiodactyla; Bovidae. The record is from Rfam by way of RNAcentral. RNAcentral also lists the same sequence under 1 other name.
UCUCUGGUAGCUCAGACAGUAAAGCAUCUGCCUACAAUGCAGGAGACCCAGGUUCGAUCCCUGGGUUGGGAA